AUCCAGGAAUCCUAUGCUCAAAACAACAUCGAAUUAGAGCUAAAAAAACGGAGGAAAUAAAUCGGAUGCCCCCAUUCUCCUCGUAGCGACAUAGCACGGAUUGGUUAGCUUGAAUCAAGGGAGAGGAGAAGCGGACUCUUUCACUUUGCGGUUAUUUAAACCGAAGCGGGAUUAGGUAACUAAUUCGGCGCGGUGGGUCGCCGAGGAAUUGAAAUACUCGGGAGCAAAAGAUCGGGCGCGUCCGCAUACGGUAAAUUUGUCUUAUUUGGUGGACGUUGGGUGUGGGACUGUUUCCACUGAAAUAUUUCGCUGCACCAGGUGUACAUUAUUCAUCCAAUACACCAUGACGCUCGACACUAUUCUACCGUCUUAGGUCGUAAUUGCUGAUGCCGCAAUCAAUGCGUUCAGAAGAAAUUACGAUCUGUAACAGCAGGUCUGCAGUUACCAGAUUCGGCCAUUCACCCUGCAAGAACUACCAUUUCUGACAACCAAUAACAUGCUGAUCAAAAUUCACAUAGUAUAUAUACAGCAUAUUAGGUAGGAUUAAUUAAUUCAAAGCUUUAUGCACCAAAAUCUUGGGUUUAGCUACAUU
Long non-coding RNA from Ananas comosus (pineapple), 592 nucleotides. RefSeq lists it as uncharacterized. Lineage: Eukaryota; Viridiplantae; Streptophyta; Magnoliopsida; Poales; Bromeliaceae. The transcript is spliced from 3 exons. The record is from RefSeq and is a predicted model, not a curated record.